RNAcentral lists this transfer RNA (73 nucleotides) under Canis lupus familiaris (dog). It matches the Rfam family "tRNA". Rfam says of the family: Transfer RNA (tRNA) molecules are approximately 80 nucleotides in length. RNAcentral also lists the same sequence under 1 other name. Lineage: Eukaryota; Metazoa; Chordata; Mammalia; Carnivora; Canidae. The record is from Rfam by way of RNAcentral.
GCCUGGUUGGCUCUGUCGGUGGAGCAUGAGAUUCUUGAUCUUGGGUCUGUGAGUUCAAGCCUUACUUUGGGUA